GGCGGAGGCUGGAUCAGGGGAUUGAACAUCCUUGUAUCGGUGGUUCGAUUCCGCCGCGGGCCACCA
This 66-nucleotide transfer RNA is filed under the name Massilia rubra. Its description in RNAcentral is "tRNA-Phe". Lineage: Bacteria; Pseudomonadati; Pseudomonadota; Betaproteobacteria; Burkholderiales; Oxalobacteraceae. The record is from RNAcentral.